GAUGAACGCUGGCGGUGUGCCUAAUACACGCAAGUCGAGCGAACGGACGAGAAGCUUGCUUCUCUGAUGUUAGCGGCGGACGGGUGAGUAACACGUGGAUAACCUACCUAUAAGACUGGGAUAACUUCGGGAAACCGGAGCUAAUACCGGAUGAUAUUUUGAACCGCAUGGUUCAAAAGUGAAAGACGGUCUUGCUGUCACUUAUAGAUGGAUCCGCGCUGCAUUAGCUAGUUGGUAAGGUAACGGCUUACCAAGGCAACGAUGCAUAGCCGACCUGAGAGGGUGAUCGGCCACACUGGAACUGAGACACGGUCCAGACUCCUACGGGAGGCAGCAGUAGGGAAUCUUCCGCAAUGGGCGAAAGCCUGACGGAGCAACGCCGCGUGAGUGAUGAAGGUCUUCGGAUCGUAAAACUCUGUUAUUAGGGAAGAACAUAUGUGUAAGUAACUGUGCACAUCUUGACGGUACCUAAUCAGAAAGCCACGGCUAACUACGUG
RNAcentral lists this ribosomal RNA (497 nucleotides) under uncultured bacterium. RNAcentral describes it as "partial 16S ribosomal RNA". It matches the Rfam family "Bacterial small subunit ribosomal RNA", at positions 28 to 507 of the family's 1533-position model. The record is from RNAcentral.